This 319-nucleotide long non-coding RNA is filed under the name Brassica napus (rape). RNAcentral describes it as "long non-coding RNA (BNAP_LNC012253)". The record is from RNAcentral. Lineage: Eukaryota; Viridiplantae; Streptophyta; Magnoliopsida; Brassicales; Brassicaceae.
CGGCCCAGCCACAACCAACACCACAAAAUGGGCCGCAACCCACGGCCCAGCCAAACCAACCCUCCACCGAAGCCCAACCAAUUUUACCCACUUCUCCACCAGGCCAAAUUCAAACUCCUAUCAAUCCAAGCCCAACAACUACACUUGCACCUAAUACUCAGCUCACACUAUCUCUUCCGACUACUCAAACCCAAACUCAAAAUAAUGAAGUCCCGCACCAACCCUCGUCUUCUCCACCACCAAAUCAUCAUCGGAUGCAGACUCGUUCCAAGAAUAAUAUUAUCAAACCAAUAAAGAAGCUUACUCUCACUGCUUCUCU